GUCUGUAUGGGUCCCUAUGUGUCCCUAUGGGUCCCUAUGUGUCUCAAUGUGUCCCUAUGUGUCUCCAUGGGGUCGCUAUGGGUCGCUAUGGGUCGCAAUGUGUCGGUAUGUGUCCCCCUGGUGGCUGUGUGUCUCUAUGUGUCCCUAUGUGUCCCUAUGUGUCUCCAUGGCAUCCCUAUGUGUCUCCAUGGCAUCCCUAUGUGUCCCUAUGUGUCCCUACGUGUCUCCAUGGCAUCCCUAUGGGUCCCUAUGUGUCUCCAUGGGGUCGCUAUGGGUCGCACUGUGUCGGUGUGUGUCCCCCUGGUGGCUGUGUGUCUCUAUGUGUCCCUAUGGGUCCCUAUGUGUCCCUAUGUGUCCCUAUGUGUCCCUAUGGUUCUCUAUGUGUCCCUACGUGUCUCCAUGGCAUCCCUAUGGGUCGCUAUGGGUCGCUAUGGGUCGCUAUGGGUCGCAAUGUGUCGGUAUGUGUCCCCCUGGUGGCUGUGUGUCUCUAUGUGUCCCUAGGUGUCCCUAUGUGUCUCCAUGGCAUCCCUAUGUGUCUCCAUGGCAUCCCUAUGUGUCUCCAUGGCGUCCCUACGGGUCCCUAUGGGUCGCUAUGUGUCGCUCUGUGUCCCCAUGUGUCGGUAUGUGUCCCCAUGGUGGCUGUGUGUCCCUAUGUGUCCCUACGUGUCCCUAUGUGUCUGUAUGUGUCCCUAUGUGUCCCUAUGUGUCCCUAUGUGUCUCAAUGUGUCCCUAUGUGUCUCCAUGGGGUCCCUAUGGGUCGCUAUGGGUUGCAAUGUGUCGGUGUGUGUCCCCCUGGUGGCUGUGUGUCUCUAUGUGUCCCUAUGUGUCUCUAUGUGUCUCUAUGUGUCCCUAUGUGUCUCUAUGUGUCUCUAUGCGUCGCUAUGGGUCUCUGUGGGUCCCUACGUGUCCCUAUGUGUCCCUAUGUGUCUCUAUGGGUCCCUAUGUGUGUCUAUGUGUCCCUAUGGGGUCCCUAUGUGUCUCUAUGGGUCUCUAUGGGUCUCUAUGUGUCUGUAUGUGUCCCUAUGUGUCUCUAUGUGUCUCUGUGCGUCUCUAUGGGUCCCUAUGUGUCUCUAUGGGUCCCUAUGUGUCCCUGUGUGUCCCUAUGCGUCUGUAUGUGUCCCUAUGUGUCCCUAUGUGUAUCCAUGGGGUCCCUAUGGGUCGCUAUGGGUCCCUAUGGGUCUCUAUGUGUCCCUAUGUGUCUCUAUGUGUCUCUAUGCGUCGCUAUGGGUCUCUGUGGGUCCCUAUGUGUCCCUAUGUGUCCCUAUGUGUCUCUAUGGGUCCCUAUGUGUGUCUAUGUGUCCCUAUGGGGUCCCUAUGUGUCUCUAUGGGUCUCUAUGGGUCUCUAUGUGUCUGUAUGUGUCCCUAUGUGUCUCUAUGGGUCCCUAUGUGUGUCUAUGUGUCACAAUGUGUCCCUAUGUGUCCCUAUGUGUCCCUAUGGGUCCCUAUGUGUCCCUAUGUGUCCCUAUGGGUCCCUAUGGGUCGCUAUGGGUCGCUAUGUGUCCCCAUGUGUCGGUAGGUGUCCCCAUGGGUGGCUGUGUGUCUCUAUGUGUCUCAGUGUGUCUCCAUGUGUCUCUAUGUGUCUCUAUGUGUCCCUACGUGUCUCUAUGUGUCCCUAUGUGUCUCCUUGGGGUCCCUAUGGGUCGCUAUGGGUCCCUAUGUGUCCCUAUGGGUCCCUAUGUGUCUGUAUGUGUCCCUACGUGUCCCUAUGGGUCCCUAUGGGUCUCUGUGUGUCUCUAUGGGUCCCUAUGUGUCCCUAUGUGUCUGUAUGUGUCUGUAUGGCUCUCUAUGUAUCCCUAUGGGUCUCUAUGGGUCUCUAUGGAUCUCUAUGGGUCACAGUGGCUCUCUACGUUUCUCUAUGGUUCUCUAUGUGUCCCUAUGUGUCCCUAUGUGUCCCUAUGGGUCCCUAUGUGUCCCUAUGUGUCUCUAUGGGUCUCUGUGUGUCUCUAUGGGUCCCUAUGUGUCCCUAUGUGUCUCCAUGGCAUCCCUAUGUGUCUCCAUGGCAUCCCUAUGGGUCCCUAUGUGUCGCUAUGUGUCCCUAUGUG
This is a long non-coding RNA of Gallus gallus (chicken), 2042 nucleotides long. The record is from Ensembl. Lineage: Eukaryota; Metazoa; Chordata; Aves; Galliformes; Phasianidae.